This 490-nucleotide small RNA is filed under the name Drosophila virilis. Its description in RNAcentral is "GJ26096". Lineage: Eukaryota; Metazoa; Arthropoda; Insecta; Diptera; Drosophilidae. The record is from RNAcentral.
CAACAUUUUUCCUGGUGGAAUUCACAUCAUUCGAGAUGAUGUUUUCAUUGUAGUUUUAAAUUAAUUAAAAUCUUGCAUUUUGGCAACGAGGCUGGCCGAGAAGGGAUGUUGGCUUCUUGGCUAUCUAACAGCCUGACAUUUUGGCCCUUUGUUCAAGUCAUGCUCCAUUCUGGGUAGCACUUAGCAUUAUUGCAUUGCAGCGAAUCGAAGUGAAUAGAAUUGAAUUAUUUGGCGAGUGAGUGCUUUACUCUGCGUCUUUUUAUGCUUGGCUGCUGCUGCUCCCAGUUUUGCCUCUUCUGCUGCUUUUUUCAUACUCUGUUCAAAAAGUGAAAACGCGCUUAUUGGUUUUGUGCAAUGUUCGUCUGCCUGUCAAGAACUUACACCUUCAAGAUGCACAAAAAUUGGCGAGUUGCAACAAUCUUUGACUUUCACAGUAUUAGAGAGAAUCAUGGUGCCCAAAGUUCAAGCCGCAAACAGAGUAUGCUGCAGU